CACCAUGAUUUUGAAAUAGCGAUACUGAGGAGAUACUCGAUUUGCACAGAAGAUACUCCAAGCUUUUUGACCACAAGAGGGACCAUUUAGUUCAUUCUUAAGAUAUGGCUGCUAAGAUUCUUGCCAACUUGAUUGUGAUUGGUGGGAGCAUCUUGGCAAGAGGAGUUGUUGCAGCGUAUCGUCAAGCACUUCAAAAUGCUACCAAAAAUGGUGUCGCGCAAGAGACAAUACAAAAUGUGGUCCAUAGAGGAAGCAAAAUGAUGACAGUGGAAGAGGCUCAACUGAUUCUUGGCGUGACAGAGAAAACAUUCUGGGAAGAUAUUGUAAAGAAAUUUGAAACUAUGCACUACAAGAAAUUUUGUAUUUUGCGACGCAUACUUUGCGACCCUUGCCUAAAAACUGCCUCAAAGUGUACCUUUGCGACAGUUUCUGCAACCCUUGAGCCCAACCGCCGCAGGUUCUGUGUUAUAUCUCACGUUUUUCCCUAAUUUACUCACUCACCCUUUGUCAAUUUCAUUCUCGCGCUUCCCAAUUUCACUCUCCCGGUUCCCAAAUUUCAAACCCUAAAACAUUCAAUUUCAUUUUCUCAAAAUCUUCCUCUUACCCUCAAUAUCUUUCAUUUCCUUUCACCCUUAAUCUAUGAAACCCUAAAAAGCAAUCUCCUCUCUCACACCCUUCGUUCUCCACCGGCCACGUCGUCGUGCUUCUCCGCCAACCUCACCGCCGAGCCUCAAUCUUGUUCAAUCGAUCACCUCUCUCAAAUCCUUCACUCGUCUCUGCAAACCUUUCAUUCUGGGGUUCUCACUUUCCUUUCCUUCUAUUCAUCACGACCCACGUUUUUCAGAGCUAUGGUUUCACCGUCGUUCGCACUUCAGCUCUCCUGCUCAACUUUCUCAAGAUUACGAAUUUUCAUUGCUAGACAUGUUACCCUGAAUAUCAAUCACAGCUUUUCCAUCCAUCAUGCCUUACUCCCCAUUGUCAUUACUACUAAGCGACCCCCCUAUGAAAAGUGAAACUGUUUAGCUUUUGGGGUGAAGACCUGCUCGCGAACCCCUAUGCAAAGUGAUGCUUCAAGUAGGCGGCCUUGAUCGUGUCGUAGCCUUCUAUGAAUAAGUGAGUUUAUUUAUUUAAUUUAAUUAUUAUGAUAACUCAUCCUUAUUAUUUUUUAGUAUGUUACUUUGGUACGGAAAUUCAACAUGUACUAGAUUCCCUCCAACCAGAAUUGUUUGUCUCCUUUACUUCUGCUUUCAAAUUCUAUUAAUCUAUCUACUGUUUUUAUUCCAAGAUAUGCUCUUUUUGCUGUUGUCUUCCUUUUCCCUUCCGGGCCAAGCUGGGAUGUUGCUGCAUAUAUGUAAUAUGCAGAUCAGAUCUGAUCACAUUUGUAAAUAUGAAAGAUGAUGCAGUUUACAUAAUCAUAGGUUCAGAAAAGGGCAUGCAAAUACAUUGUAUCAAUCUCUAAAACUGUACAAAUUAAUGAGGCAGAGCAUGUGACAUGGGAAUCAAAGUACAUUAAAAGCCAACAAACACAGAAUUACCAAGAGAUGGUGUGCGCUCCUCCGAGUCUAGUUACUGCCUUGAGAAUCAUGAGCAACAUCACUAGAGAUAUUUAGAUAAAUAUUAUGAGCUAAUGAAGAUGUACUUUUUUGUAUUUUCAAUCAUUGAAAUUCACUUGUAUUUUGGUUUUUGAACGUUUAAGCUACUUUAUUUCUAGUUUUAAUCAAGUUCAUUCAAUGUAUGAAUCUGAAUGUUUAAGCUACUUUAUUUAUAGUUUUAAUUAAGUUCAAUGUAUGGAUCAA
Long non-coding RNA from Medicago truncatula (barrel medic), 1796 nucleotides. RefSeq lists it as uncharacterized. The record is from RefSeq and is a predicted model, not a curated record. Lineage: Eukaryota; Viridiplantae; Streptophyta; Magnoliopsida; Fabales; Fabaceae. The transcript is spliced from 5 exons.